GAUGAAGAACGUAGCGAAAUGCGAUAAGUAAUGUGAAUUGCAGAAUUCAGUGAAUCAUCGAAUCUUUGAACGCACAUUGGGCCCGCUGGUAUUCCGGCGGGCAUGCCUGUUCGAGCGUCAUUUCAACCCUCAAGCUCUCCGGAGUUUGGUGUUGGGGCGCCUGGGGCUUUUCGACCUCAGGGCCCUCAAGUCCAUCGGCGGGACCGCCAGGACACUGAGCGCAGUAGUAUUAUUUCGCUCGGUAGGAUCUUCCACGGCGGGUCGAUCUGGCCGCUAAACCCCCCAAUUCUCACCAAAGGUUGACCUCGGAUCAGGUAGGAAUACCCGCUGAACUUAAGCAUAUCAAUAAGCGGAGGA
This 357-nucleotide unclassified non-coding RNA is filed under the name soil metagenome. Its description in RNAcentral is "partial contains 5.8S ribosomal RNA, internal transcribed spacer 2, and large subunit ribosomal RNA". The stretch from base 1 to 120 matches the Rfam family "5.8S ribosomal RNA", at positions 35 to 154 of the family's 154-position model. The record is from RNAcentral.